Long non-coding RNA from Ornithodoros turicata, 784 nucleotides. RefSeq lists it as uncharacterized. The transcript is spliced from 2 exons. Lineage: Eukaryota; Metazoa; Arthropoda; Arachnida; Ixodida; Argasidae. The record is from RefSeq and is a predicted model, not a curated record.
AGAAGAAGAAGAAAUAUCGUUUAGAAUUAUCUUUUGCUAGAUAAGACCGGUGGCGAUAGCAAGGUGUCAUCGCCGAUGGUGGUCUCACACGUUCUGUUUCCCUCUUUACUGCGAGGGAACCUGAAGCUUAUAUAACCCGCAGCGCUACCAAGGCAGGGAGGAGAGCCAUCCUGGAGGCUAGCGUGAGCAACAUCGACGGACGGGUUCCUUCGGCAGCUUACGGCAGUGGUCUACUACAGGAAACUACGAUCAGUCAUGCUUGCCAAGAGGAAUUCUAGCUCCCUCGACAGUGCCGCGAACGAACCUGCGGCACAGGACCUGCUACAGCAGCUGUCUUCCACUCCGUAUGCUUCCCCAAAUAGUUCGGCAGCACAUCCACAGUCCUCGGACACCCGCUGCGCAGGAAGUUGACGGUAGAGACGCUUUCCAGCCACAGCGACCUAUGGUCAGUAGACUUCAUAGACUUGGAACGGCCAUGCGAGUCACCGAGGACGUCGUCCUGCGUAGGGUGCUGUCCGCCGAUACUGACUGCCUUUCCGGUGACAUUUUGCACUUGCCAGACCUUUGAAAAAGGUGGGAGUGUGGUAAUAGGAAGGAGUUAUCGCUUAAAGUCCCCCAUCUUAAACAUGGUGUCCCUUCUCUAGUGCGAGGGAACCUGAAGCUUGUCCAGCCGUGGCUGGAAAACAAACGUCUUCACUAGUGUUGCUGCAGAGGACAGAUUACGACGCAGUGGUUUUCUACAGGAAACUGUCGUGUAUGCAAAUAAACAUGCUGUUGUUGGUUA